RNAcentral lists this ribosomal RNA (253 nucleotides) under uncultured bacterium. RNAcentral describes it as "partial 16S ribosomal RNA". It matches the Rfam family "Bacterial small subunit ribosomal RNA", at positions 524 to 776 of the family's 1533-position model. The record is from RNAcentral.
UACGUAGGGGGCUAGCGUUGUCCGGAUUUAUUGGGCGUAAAGAGCGUGUAGGCGGCCAGGUAGGUCUGCUGUGAAAACUCGAGGCUCAACCUCGAGAUGUCGGCGGAAACCAUCUGGCUAGAGUCCGGAAGAGGAAAGUGGAAUUCCUGGUGUAGCGGUGAAAUGCGCAGAUAUCAGGAAGAACACCCGUGGCGAAGGCGGCUUUCUGGGACGGUACUGACGCUGAGGCGCGAAAGCUAGGGGAGCAAACGGG